This 253-nucleotide ribosomal RNA is filed under the name uncultured bacterium. RNAcentral's name for it is "partial 16S ribosomal RNA". It matches the Rfam family "Bacterial small subunit ribosomal RNA", at positions 524 to 776 of the family's 1533-position model. The record is from RNAcentral.
UACGGGGGGGGCAAGCGUUGUUCGGAAUUACUGGGCGUAAAGCGCGUGUAGGCGGUCACGCAAGUCAGGUGUGAAAGCCCAGGGCUCAACCCUGGAAGUGCACAUGAUACUACGUGGCUGGAGUACUGAAGAGGAGAGCGGAAUUCCCGGUGUAGAGGUGAAAUUCGUAGAUAUCGGGAGGAACACCAGUGGCGAAGGCGGCUCUCUGGGCAGAUACUGACGCUGAGACGCGAAAGCGUGGGUAGCAAACAGG